UAGGGAAUAUUGGUAAAUGGGCGAAAGCCUGAACCAGCAACGCCGCGUGUGCGAUGAAGGCCUUCGGGUUGUAAAGCACUUUUAACCGGGAAGAGGAAGGACGGUACCGGUGGAAUAAGCCUCGGCUAACUACGUGCCAGCAGCCGCGGUAAAACGUAGGAGGCGAGCGUUAUCCGGAUUUACUGGGUGUAAAGCGCGAGCAGGCGGCUCGUUAAGUUGGGUGUAAAAGCUCCCGGCUCAACUGGGAGAGGUCGCUCAAGACUGGCGGGCUAGAGGGUGGUAGAGGAAGGUGGAAUUCCGGGUGUAGUGGUGAAAUGCGUAGAUAUCCGGAGGAACACCAGUGGCGAAAGCGGCCUUCUGGGCCACACCUGACGCUCAGACGCGAAAGCUAGGGUAGCAAACGGG
Molecule: ribosomal RNA, 405 nt
Filed under: uncultured bacterium
Lineage: Bacteria
Description: bacterial SSU rRNA
Rfam family: Bacterial small subunit ribosomal RNA
Source: RNAcentral